Molecule: long non-coding RNA, 4999 nt
Filed under: Sus scrofa (pig)
Lineage: Eukaryota; Metazoa; Chordata; Mammalia; Artiodactyla; Suidae
Description: lncRNA (ENSSSCG00000060663.1)
Source: RNAcentral
CCAAAGCCCUAGACUCCAGUUAUGUUGUUAUGAUCAGACAAUGUUAAGGAAAAUCAAAUGCAUUUUUAAUUUUUAAAUAAAUAAUUCCUCUUCCAUCACAACUUUUUUUCAAGUCUUGAAUACAAAGUUACUUCCAAAUAUACUUGAUGAGAACAAUCAGACUAUUUUUCUCAUGGACAGCAGACACCUUCCUUUGUGCUGUUCUAUUAUUCUUCAUCUUUAUACCUGUCCUUCCUCUUCCUCAGUAUUGCUACAGGUACUCUGAAAAAUUAUCAAGUACCUAAUCAAGGAUUCUAAAGAUCUUUGUCUCAUUUUUAUGACCUCUAAGAAAAAUGGAAAAGAACGGAGAGUCCAUAUUUGUGGUGAAACUACUAUGUGUCAAACAUAAAGAUAGGAAAUUUUGACACCUAGCCCUUGUGGAUGCUAUAAUCCUAAGAGACAGCUGUUAUUGAACCUAUUUUGCAGAGGAGGAAACUGAGGCCAAGAGAGACUUAGCAAUAGAUAUGGGGCAAAACGGUAUUUGGAACUAGCAGUGUAUAAUUCCAAAGCUCAUGCUCUUUGUAAUCUGAGUAAAAUAUUACCCCUGGAAUUUUUACUAAUGUUAAAUAUAAUUACACCUUUUUAUAAAAAUAUAUUUAAUGACUAUUUUCAAAGCAUUGUCACAUACAUCAUCCCAUUCCAAGGCAGCUGGUAGAAUGGGGGACUUGAGGGGGGGGUUGUUGCGAGGGAUGGCAAUAAUGUAUAUAAAGUAUAAUAUCCAGCCAGAGUAAGACAAGUGCUCAGUAGUUAUCAUUACUGUCACUAUUAUUAUUAUUACUGUUGAUCCUCACAGCAGGCUUAGAAGUAAGGUAGUACAGCUGUUAUCAUGCCCUCUUGAUAGACUUUCUCUACAAAGAUUAACCCCAUUCAUAUUAUACUCCACAAGCAAGAGAAUUACUUUAAACUUUUUAUUUACAAGGCAUUUACUUACAGGAAUCUCAAAACACCAUAUUCAAAUUCAGUUUGUUUGCAAUGCAGGCAGGCAGGGAUUGGAGGGGAAGUAGCUGUGAGGUGGGCUUACAGUCUUUCCCAGCAGAGUCAGAAUUGGAAAUUUUGCCUUCCAUCUUCAAAAUGAGUCUCCUUUCCAGGCCAUGGAAGUGGUACAGGAGGACUUUCUUUCUCAUGAGUCAUCAUCUUCUUCUUACAAGGGGUAAUGUAAUGGUGAGCCCUUUCUUCAGUUCCCUGCUUGUACAGGGAGGGAGCACCCCCCACCACUACCAGAUAGUUGCAGACCAAGCUUGUUUACCAUGGUGAGAGCCGUUAUCAUGAGGCAGAGGGUGGUUCCGGUUUGACGUCUGUGGCCGCAUUCCUGCUCUCCGGAUAGCAGACAGAGAAGUGCAAGAAAAGUGCUUGGUAUCAGUGACUCACAGCAAGACAGGAAAUCUCAAGCGGAUCCACCCUUCCUUCCUGACUUCACGACCAGCUGAGCAGAAGAACCACAGGCCACAAGGAUUCUAGAAUCUUGAUGAGAAGGGCUAGAGCCACAGACAGAGACUGGGCCACAGCAAUAUGCUCACUAAAUGGAUUAAAAUGCCAGGACCCCGCUGCCAGGAAAGCAUGCUUUCUUCAUCCUAGAGAACACUGUUUCUGCCAAGAUUCUCUUUUCACCUUUACCCAGGAUCUCCCUGGUAUAUGCUGGCCUUUGCAUUGUUCUUAAACAUGAGAACAAUAGACUUGACACAAUUCAAUUGAGUGGCCCUCAUUCAUACCCUGUUUUAAAAGCAUGCAAGAAAUGAUAACAAUCAUCAUUAUCAAGCAAAGCCUUCACACUGCAGCAUGGCAAAGUAUGUCUCUCCAGCAAAAUGUAAACACGUUUAUAGUAGAUUUUUGAACCCAGUGUCAAAUUGCUUCUGUAAAGUUACAUCAUGUUUCUCCUUAUGAGAGCAGCAAAUGAUUAGGAUAAUGAUAAAGACUAAUAGUCGUUAUGCCAAGGACAGCUCAAAGCACUCUAUAUGCCUUAAGUCAUUUAAGUUUUUCAACUACCCUUUGAGAUAAGCAUUGUUAUUGGUCCCGUUUUACAAAUGAGGAAGUUAUCAAAGUGAAGGAAAGCCUCUUCACUGUCUCCCCAAACUGUUUUUAAACCUCACAAAUAAUAAAUAAAGCUCAAAACAAAAAAUGAAAAAUAUAAAUGAAACUGCUGCUAACCCUGAUUUGUUGUAAGAGUCAAGUGAAUAAAUGACACAAAAUGAUUAUAGACAUAUUUCCCAUAUCUGGCCAAUUCAGUAGUAUAUUUCCAACUCAUUCAUUAAACUGUAAAAAAAAAAAAAAAUACGCCUACAAAAUAGUCAAGUUAAAAUUCUGAGUCAUUCCAGCAGACCAAAUUUGUCAGUAUCUUUUGUCAAGGCCACUUCCCUCUCUUCCUGCAGGGCAGCAAUGUCAGAAAGUGGCAGAAGUCUGCAUUUCUGUGUGUUUUAUAUAUAUAAGCUUUCACUUCUCACCUCCUUUUAUUUCCCUGCUCUCUCCAAGCUCACCUCACACCCUAUGGUCCAGCCACAACAAAAUAUGAUGCAUCUAGUGCACUUGAUCUUUAUUUUGAGUCUUUGAAUGUGGUGCUGUUUUCUUUGUCUGAAAAGUUAUCUCCCCCUCUUCUACCCAGAAAGUACUUGCAGCAUUCAGAAAUCUAUCCAUCUGUUCAUACACUCAAAGAGUUAUUACCGAACACCUAUUAUGAGGCAGAUACAGGAAGGUCGGGGAGGGAACAAGGUCACUGUUCUGAUGAACUUUCCACUGCAGAGAAAGAAGCAAAGUUAAGAAAGAAAAGAAGGAAGGAAAAAAGUAAGAGAGUAAAGGAAGGUCAGUGGGAGAAAGGAAGGAAGGCAGGCAGGAAAGAAGGAGGGAAGCAGAGGGGAGAAAGGGAUGGAAGGAGGCACUAAUUAAUUAGUGUUAUGCAAGCCAUAUGACACUGGGUGUCAGGAAUCCAUCCACCUGAGCUAAGCUCUGAAUGACAAGAAGGAGCCAGUUGCAGAGACAAGAACCACUAGUUCAAAGACGCUAGGCUGGAGAGCAAGCCUGGUUCCCAAGAGCUGAAGGAGCCAGCAUGACUGAGGGAGCAGCAGAGAGCAAGGCGGCCACAGAUCCCACUGGAUUUGUUAGGCCUGUAAGAAGUUUAAAUGGAAAUUUUAAAGCAGAGAAUUGAUAAAAUCUAUUUUAAUAAAUCCCUCUGGUUAUUGAGUGCACAUUGGGCUUUAAGGAGUCAGGUGUAGAAGCAGGAAUACAAGUUAGGAUAUAGAUGCAGGAGGAGUCAAGGCAAUUCUCUGCUCACACAGCACUUUGCAAAGACUCAAUAUUAACAUUACACAUUUUAAAAAAAUUGAUAUAUGUUUUUUCCUCUGUUUAGACAAUCAGAUUCUUAAAAGCAGGAAUAAAGCAUCACUCUGCAAUAAACAUUCUUCCCUGGAUGAAUAAGUCAAUGGAAAACUGAAUGAAUAAGAUAAGGUCCCUGCCCUCAGAAAGCUUAAGAUCUCCAAAACAGACAUCAUUCAAGUAACCAGAUCUCAGAGUAGGUUAUUCACGUUGCAUAAGUGGUAGAAAAUUUUAUAUACAGGGCAGAGGAGGAAGAAAGUGGAUUAUCCAACUGAGGAUGUGAUACUGAAUCAGAACCUCAGGGUCUGCUGUUCUUUAACACAGUGGGAUGUUAAAAUGAGGUGGCAGGAGUUUGACAGAGAACAAAUUGAGUCAGCCUCCCCUUCUGAUGUUUCCUAGUUUCAGAUAAGGGCUAUAUUUAGACUCAGAGUUCUAGGUCAAAACGCAACUCAUUGAAUCCAUUGAGAAAUGAUUCAUCUCUGCUGGACUAUCAAAUAAAAAGCAAAAAGUAAACAGGAGUGUCAGAUUACAUUUGGAUUGUUCAAAUUACAGUAAAACUCUGACAUUUGGGUGAAAUGCUCAUGUUCUAAAUGUUUUUUUUUUUUUUCCUGGAGUUAUAAAAAGAUCAUCGAUGAGAAAGAGUCAAGUAUAGUUUUAGUAUAUCCCCUUCCGCCUUGUCUGGAGUUCACUUUCCUGAGGGGUUCCACUGCCUCUGCCCAAGCACCCAGGGCCCCCAAGUUACACAAAUAUAAUCAAGGCCUUUGCUCCUUCCCUUUCCCUUUCUGUUUCACUCCUCCUUCCCCAACCUACCUCAACUCUAUCUAUCUGUCUGUCUAUCUAUCGAUCUAUCAAUCAUUGCUUUUUGCCCCAUAAUAAAACCCCACAAAAUUUGAUUUAACCAUUUCUAAUGUCUCCCAAUUCUGUGAGUGGCCUAGCUAGCUCUUCUGGAUCAGGCCAGUUCAUUUGGGCUACAGCCAGCCAGGACAACAGGAAUGCUUAAAGUCUUUUUUCAUGUGGUCUCUCAUCCUUCAGGAUGUUUUUCUAUGGGAUGCCAGAAAGAUUCCCAGCAGCUGGAGAAGAAAAAUUGAAAGCACCUUCCAAGACUCUGGACUACAUUUUCUAACUGGCUAAAAGGAAGCUAGCUGUCCCAGCCCAAGUUCAAAGGAUAGAGAAAUAAACUCAACUUUUUGAUGGGUGGCAUGGCAGAAAAUUCCAUUGCAAAGGGAUACACAUACAUAGAUAUAAAUCAUUUGUGACUGUGUUGUGAUCUGUCAUACUGUUAUUUUGGAGAAAUCCCAUUAAUUUAAGUCAUACUUAGGUGAUAAGGAACCCUCACAGGUGGUUUGCUUCCUAACUUGGUGAAGUACGUCACCUCAAGGGAAUCAAACUCCAAAGUCAGAAUUUCAGGCCCAGGAGUUCCCAUCAUGCCUCAGCAGUUAACAAACCCUACUAGUAUCCAUGAGGAUGCGCGUUCAAUCCCUGGCCUUGCUCAGUGGGUUAAGGAUCUGGCACUGCUGUGAGCUACGGUGUAGGUCACAGACGCUGCUUGGAUCCUGAGUUGCUAUGGCUGUGGCGAGGCCAGCAGCUGUAGUUCUGAUUCAGCCCUUAGCCUGGGAACUUCCAUAUGCUACAGAGUGUGGCUCUAAAAAGACAAAAG